Molecule: long non-coding RNA, 653 nt
Filed under: Homo sapiens (human)
Lineage: Eukaryota; Metazoa; Chordata; Mammalia; Primates; Hominidae
Description: non-protein coding lnc-IGFBP7-5:5
Source: RNAcentral
AUUUGGAGGAAAGAGGGUUGCUGUGGUAUGCUGGGGUUCCGCUUCAAUGCCUAGUCACCUCAGAUUUUCCUGUACCUGCAGGUAUCACCAGUGAAGCCUGCGAAGCAGCAAAGAUGGCAGUCUGCCCCGUCUUCUAGGAGCUCUGUCACAGGGAGACAAGCCGUGCUGUGCUGGCGGACCACUUCAGCUCAUGGUCACCUCAGACACUCUGAAGCCUGAAGGCUGGAACAACUAAAUUGCCCAAACAGCAAAUAUGACAGCAUCUACAGAAAUCAUUUUAUUUGAGUUAUGUAGCAAGAACCCAACUUAAGCAAAUAUAAAAUUUACAACUAAGUCACUAUUUGGAUAUUAAUGUGUAUGCUAAACUGAUUUGUUCAUGGGCUAGUCAGCUAUUCAUAUGAUCUUUACAAUUUUCUGAAUUCCAUUUUUUGGUUAAAAAAAGAAAACAAGCUGAUACUUUUAUCACUUUCUAAGAAACAUUUGAUUUAAAUUCUUAUGCCUUCAAUAUCUCAUGUAAAAUGCUAGUUUCAUUACUACUGUAAGUAAAUAUGUGUAAAACAGAAAGUAUCUGAGACAAGUCUCAAUCAGUUUUGAAGUUUAUUUGGCCAAGGUUAAGGAUAUGCCCAGAAGAAAUAAACAUGCAAUCACAGAAA